UUUUUUCCUUUUUUUUUUUUUCCCGGGGAGUCGGCCUCGGGGCUCUGCUCUCCUACCUCAGUCUGCCCUACCCUGGAAUGGGGAAAAUGCGGACAUGCCACUCAGUCCGGCCGCGAACAGUGCUCCAGAACUCAGAGAGUUUUCCAGACGGGUGGAGAUCGCGUUCCCUGCCCGCCGAGGUCCCAUCGCUUCCCUGCUGGGAAGACAAAUGAGGCGCUUUAGCCGUCUCCACGGCCAGCCCCUCCCUCAUAACCCGAGAUUCUUUGUGGGCUCUUAGUCCAUAGCUGCCUUUGAGGUGGUGUAGACCUUGCUAACCAGGACGGCCCAGUAGGCAGAGCUCAUUUUUAUUCCUGUCUGCAAUCGUGCAAAAACGCCUCUUAUGGAAAAGCCAGAGCGCCAGGAGUCAGCAAAACACACUAAAGAUUGGGCAGUCACUGGGGAGAACAUGGCCUGAAGCAACUGAAGAUCCACAAAAGAAGUGAAAAUAGCCUUAACUGAUGACAUUCCACCAUUGAGAUUUGUUCCUGCCCCACCCUAACUGAUACGAUAUAUUCUCCCCCGCCCUUAAGAAGACUCAGCCCGCCUGCACCCAGGUGAAAUAUACAGCCUUGUUGCUCACACAAAGCCUGUUUGGUGGUUUCUUCACACGGAUGCAUGUGACAUUUGGUGCUGAAGACCCAGGACAGGAGGACUCCUUUGGGAGACCAGUGCCCUGUUGUCGCCCUCACUCCGUGAGGAGAUCCACCUAUGAUCUCAGGUCCUCAGACCAACCAGCCCAAGGAACAUCUUGCCAAUUUCAAAUCGGGAGUGUCAGGCCUCUGAGUCCAAGCUAAGCCAUCAAAUCCCCUGUGACCUGCACGUGUACAUCCAGAUGACCUGAAGCAACUGAAGAUCCACAAAAGAAGUGAAAGUAGCCUUAACUGAUGACAUUCCACCAUUGUGAUUUGUUCCUGCCCCACGCUAACUGAUACCAUAUAUUCUUCCCCCGCCCUUGAGAAUGUACUUUGUACACCUAUCCCAAACCUAUAAGAACUAAUGAUAAUCCUACCACCCUUUGCUGACUCUCUUUUUGGACUCAGCCCGCCUGCACCCAGGUGAAAUAAACAGCCCUGUUGCUCACACAAA
Molecule: long non-coding RNA, 1125 nt
Filed under: Homo sapiens (human)
Lineage: Eukaryota; Metazoa; Chordata; Mammalia; Primates; Hominidae
Description: oligodendrocyte maturation-associated long intergenic non-coding RNA
Source: RNAcentral